AUCAUCACAUAUCCAAAACUUGGCUCCGGAAUAAGCCCCGGCAGUGUGGGCCGAUCGUUAGGCGGGAGCACGGCAACGAAACGGACGCUAAAUUAUUUAACCGGAAGAAUGAAGCUCUUCCAAAGCUACCAAGUAUAAAUAUUCGUGACCAUUUUCGAGGGUAGCAAAAGGAUAAAAAUCAGAGUUACGUGUAUCUAAAAUAUCCCUCAACAGAAGGCAUACUUUUCGGCCGUAUGAGAUCUGGCAGAUCUGUGGCGCAAAACCAGAUUGGCUCUGGCGGAUGAUGACUAAUCGGCUGGCUGUGGGCUCCUUCGCAUGCCGAGAUCGUGACUCAGAGCCUAUAACUCUACAGUAGAGCUUCCAUAGCUCGAACUUCCAUAUUCUAUAUCUUCAUAAGUCUAACUUGCCGUAUUAACAGUUGCCGAAGUUGGACUGUAAUCUCGGCCGGAUCGCAUUUGACAUUGACACAGGCGAAGGCGAAGGCAUUGGGGCAAGGAGAGACGCAGGUCAGAGAGUGGAGAAACGGAGGAGGAGAAAGAGAGAGGCUGAGAGGGUGAAAGAGAACAAGGUAACGUGUUUGAAUGAAUUAUAAUGCCAAGCGGGUUUUUGUUUUGGAAAGGCUUUUCGUAAAGCCCCCGCAGAGAAUGGAGAUUGGAGAAUGGAAAGCUCUCUCAACCCUCAAAAGGUUAUUUGCCGGGCUCUAAUCUUGGGAAGUGAGUAUGGGAAUCAGAACGAGUGUUUGUUAUUGCUGGCCGAUGGCCAAGAGCGGCCACACGUCAUCGGUUGGUAAUUGGAAUUGGGGAGUGAGAGUAAGAGUGACCCCAGACGAAGAAGGAACACAUUUGAAGGGCGCAACCGCAAUCGCCCACCUGAUGCGACAGUGAUCGCGGAAAGUAUCCACUCGAAGUCAAAGGUAAUAAUAUCGAACACUCACCUUCCUU
Long non-coding RNA from Drosophila gunungcola (fruit fly), 941 nucleotides. RefSeq lists it as uncharacterized. The record is from RefSeq and is a predicted model, not a curated record. NCBI's taxonomy places the organism in Eukaryota, Metazoa, Arthropoda, Insecta, Diptera, Drosophilidae. The transcript has 5 exons.